Long non-coding RNA from Helicoverpa armigera (cotton bollworm), 798 nucleotides. RefSeq lists it as uncharacterized. The record is from RefSeq and is a predicted model, not a curated record. Lineage: Eukaryota; Metazoa; Arthropoda; Insecta; Lepidoptera; Noctuidae. The transcript has 2 exons.
UCAAAUGUCUGAUGUUCAUAGCAUAAAAUUAUUAGGAAUAAACAUAAUCUUGAUGUACAUGCUACUCGCCUCCACAGAGUAAGCAACUCGUUCAUGGGUCAACGUAUACGCUUUUACAAUAAACUUCCCAAAACUUUUCAAUUAAAUGUUUUUCUAAUUACUGGGGGUUUUUUCUCAAAACACUAACAUUUUGGGGGGAUUUUGGGUGAGAUUUGGGGAGAAUGCUAAAUCAUCAUCUGGCAACACUGCGUCUAUCGAGUAUAUAUUGCUAAAGCCUGUGAGUUUUUUUUCUUGUGAUGUUAUUUUAAUUUAACUUAAACUACAUUACGCUAUGUUUUAUGCAAUAAAACAGUAAAGAGGUUUUCUAUAGGUGAAUUUUUACCUAUGUCAUUCGCGCGUUUGUCAAAUUGACUGAUGUGUAUGUGUACAUAGAGUGAGGUUAAUUUUGGGUUUAUUAUUGUUGAAUAGAUAAGUUUAUUUUGGCAGAGAAGAGAAAACGAGGAUAAACCUUUCUUGCAGAAGAAAAAGACAAGCUAGUGAAAUUGCUGACGUCUUAUAGAGACACAAUAUUAAACAAAAAACGGAUGGGACCACGAACGAAGCCAAAAACAAAGCUUGGAUCCAGUUACAAAUAGUUUUAAUGCGAUAGGAACCGUUUACAGUUUCAGGUGGUGCGAGAAAUUGGAAAGACGUGUAAAAACAUGCUGCGCCCAGCCCACCUCAAAUUGAAUUGGUGCAGGAGGAUGAUGAUAAUGUUUGGUACAUCAUAUGAGGACUAAUAUUAAAAUAUUUGUUUAC